Molecule: ribosomal RNA, 446 nt
Filed under: uncultured bacterium
Lineage: Bacteria
Description: partial 16S ribosomal RNA
Rfam family: Bacterial small subunit ribosomal RNA
Source: RNAcentral
CCUACGGGAGGCUGCAGUCGAGAAUCAUUCACAAUGGGGGAAACCCUGAUGGUGCGACGCCGCGUGGGGGAAUGAAGGUCUUCGGAUUGUAAACCCCUGUCAUGUGGGAGCAAAUUAAAAAGAUAGUACCACAAGAGGAAGAUACGGCUAACUCUGUGCCAGCAGCCGCGGUAAUACAGAGGUCUCAAGCGUUGUUCGGAAUCACUGGGCGUAAAGCGUGCGUAGGCUGUUUCGCAAGUCGUGUGUGAAAGGCGCGGGCCCAACCCGAGGACGGCACAUGAUACUGCGAGACUAGAGUAAUGGAGGGGGAAGCGGAAUUCGCGGUGUAGCAGUGAAAUGCGUAGAUAUUGGGAGGAACACUAGUGGCGAAGGCGGGUUCCUGGACAUUAACUGACGCUGAGGCACGAAGGCCAGGGGAGCGAAAGGGAUUAGAUACCCCAGUAGUC